UCGUGACCUGAUGUAAACGUGACUGUUCAUGACUAGACGCAGCCACUAGAUGCAGCUGCAACGCUAUAUAUUGCGAUGUGGCUCUGUCACGAGACACGAGACAUACAAUACUCGCUCUCUAUACCACCUCCUUUAGCCUCUGUUCAGGUGUGCAGCUCACGAGACAUACAAUUCUUGUUCUUAAUCGUUCCCACCUCUCAUGUCUCUAAACAAGAUUUUGGCCAAGGUUAGUGCCCCAAGUGGCAAGGUCGUAGCUGUGGCUUAGUCUAGAUCCAAGUUCAUUCGCCCAAAGUUACGGAUUCCCUCCUCACGUAGCCAUUUGUAUUCUUGGUAAGGAUCCAUCCGGUCAUUUUUUUUUCAACCAUAAUUACCAUACAAUUCGUGAAGGAUAUUGAAGAUAACAUCCUA
This 408-nucleotide long non-coding RNA is filed under the name Carica papaya (papaya). Its description in RNAcentral is "long non-coding RNA (CPAP_LNC013820)". Lineage: Eukaryota; Viridiplantae; Streptophyta; Magnoliopsida; Brassicales; Caricaceae. The record is from RNAcentral.